UGCCCAAGAUGAACAUGUGGUAUAGACA
RNAcentral lists this non-coding RNA (28 nucleotides) under Homo sapiens (human). The record is from RNAcentral. Lineage: Eukaryota; Metazoa; Chordata; Mammalia; Primates; Hominidae.